CUUCUACUGCGGUCUGAAGAUGAGCCAUACCAGAAGCCUGCAGUACAGCAACAGAGGUACAAACAAAUGGAAUUUCCCUUGUGACUUGUGUGCUGAGACCACAAUACGGUGAGGAGCACUGUUUUGUGAAGGAAACACAUGCACAUUUUGUCAUUAACUUAUCAAUGAUAGUGGAGAUGUGGCACUGUGCAUCGAUUUGGACAGCACCAGACUUCAAUCGGACAGCUUUGAAUAUUCCACUUAGCAGCUCAGCUCUCUGUAUGUAGGCAUGUGCAUUCAGUCCCUUUGUUGUGAUGGAUUUCACUAAUUGGAGGAGAUUGUUGGAAUCCUCAGCACAAACAAUAUUUUCAAAAGUGACACUAUCGCAGAAAGCACAACAUAAGCAUUGACAAAAAGCAUCAAAUGCACAUGUGUUCAGCACAGAGAUUCUUGAUUUCCUGAGUUUAACAGGCUGUUGAUUAUUUCCAUUUUUCAACAGGUCCACUUUCAGUCUUUUCCCCCUCACAGAUGGAUCUGCAUGAAGCCAUUCAGGACAAGGAGAGAGGUAUGAAUUUCUCUUCCUCUUUUUUAGGUGGAACUGCUAGGCCCCUCCAGUUUUCAACAGCAUCUUCAUCUGUUGGAGGGAUGUUUGUGACAGUGUCAGACUUCCUGUGUCCAGUGUCAGAACAGAAAGCAUCCAUUUCUGGUUCUACAUCUACACAGCAAGUUGUGAACAAAUUCGCAUGUUGCCUUCAAUGAAGGACAGAUGUCGAGCAAUGAAUCGAUCUACUCGAAUAGGCAAGUUUUCAUGCUUGAAAAGGCCUCGUUUGAUGUUUUUGAACUCUGCUUCAACAUUAGCUGAACUUGCAGUUAUGUUGGUGCUUUGGAAGUGAGGGAUCAUUACCCCUGUCCAAAGUGGUCUGUCUGUGUUUGGUCACAUGGAUCCAGUUCUUCCAGGUCCUCACCCUCUACAUCUGGAAUGAUGACACGCUCUUCUGCAAUUCGGGCCUUCAGUCCCACUGGCAGAUCAUCUUGAUGCAGUGUGCAACAUCAACCCGAACAAAACAAGGUGGCACUUUUGCUGAAUGUUUACCAACAUUUGCACCACUGGGACACUUGAGCUCUCAUCCCCUGCCAGAACACCCUGAUAUAAGAAGAUGUGGCCAGACUUGCCAUUUGGUCUCUGUAGUUUUCUCACUACUGAGCCAGUUGCAUCAAAACUCACAGUGGGCUUUGCGUAGGGUGGCCAAAUUAGGCAGAUGGCUCGGCUCGGGAUCUCCAAAAUCCAUCAGUUUUGUUGCCUCUGAUGCCCUCCAUACAUGGGGUUCCAUUCUACCCUCACACAGCUCUUUGGCUAUUUGCAUGCGCAAGUUACCGGACAUCGGACGCUUGGAACAGCCAGUGUGCAGGGAGUCAUCAGUGUUCUUAAGUAAACACUUGAGCACCAUCGGACUGUUAAUUUCAGGCUCUCGUUCACAUUUUAUGUGAAUGUGGCCAUGACACUCUUUACAUUGGCCUCUGACAUCAAUGUAUAUCUCUGUGACUGAUGGAUAGACCUUGGCUCUUUUAAAGACAAAAGUGCAGGGGCAUUUUACUUCUUGCCAAAUCUGGUGAUUUAUCACAUGUGUCCAGAUGCCAGGCUUCAAAAUUGUGUAUUCUCUUUUUUGUGUUUUAGAGACCUUGUCUUUGUAUUUAACCGUUUCAGGCAUGAAUUCAAUCCAUUUCUGAAAUGGAACUUCAAGAUUAAAAGUCCAGCAAUCUUUUGAUCUGGAGGAAAGGGACCCUGGCUCAAAAUCAGUGUCAUCACUACUGCCACUUGUUUCAUGAUCACUUUCAUGAAUAUACCCUAAAGCUUUCCAGAUGUUGUGUCUGUUUAAUUUAACAAAAGUGUAUAGAGCCUUUGCGGUGAUCUUGUCUUCUAGCUGUUUACUAAGCUCUGUCCAGAUGCUCUGAUUUGGAGUAGCUAUGUUGCCAUU
Long non-coding RNA from Megalobrama amblycephala (Wuchang bream), 1955 nucleotides. RefSeq lists it as uncharacterized. NCBI's taxonomy places the organism in Eukaryota, Metazoa, Chordata, Actinopteri, Cypriniformes, Xenocyprididae. The transcript is spliced from 6 exons. The record is from RefSeq and is a predicted model, not a curated record.